UACGUAGGGGGCAAGCGUUACUCGGAAUCACUGGGCGUAAAGAGCGCGUAGGCGGGAUAGCAAGUCAGAUGUGAAAUCCUAUGGCUUAACCAUAGAACUGCAUUUGAAACUGUUAUUCUAGAGUAUGGGAGAGGUAGGUGGAAUUCUUGGUGUAGGGGUAAAAUGCGUAGAUAUUAGGAGGAACACCAGUGGCGAAGGCGGCCUGCUGGACGGUGUACUGACGCUGAGGCUCGAAAGCGUGGGGAGCAAACAGG
RNAcentral lists this ribosomal RNA (254 nucleotides) under uncultured Helicobacteraceae bacterium. RNAcentral describes it as "partial 16S ribosomal RNA". It matches the Rfam family "Bacterial small subunit ribosomal RNA", at positions 524 to 776 of the family's 1533-position model. Lineage: Bacteria; Pseudomonadati; Campylobacterota; Epsilonproteobacteria; Campylobacterales; Helicobacteraceae. The record is from RNAcentral.